UGGGUCCGUAGGGUAGCUUGGUCGAUCCUUUGGGCUUUGGGAGCCUGAGACUCCGGUUCAAAUCCGGGCGGACCCAUCC
RNAcentral lists this transfer RNA (79 nucleotides) under Methanobrevibacter thaueri. RNAcentral describes it as "tRNA-Pro". It matches the Rfam family "tRNA". Rfam says of the family: Transfer RNA (tRNA) molecules are approximately 80 nucleotides in length. Their secondary structure includes four short double-helical elements and three loops (D, anti-codon, and T loops). Lineage: Archaea; Methanobacteriati; Methanobacteriota; Methanobacteria; Methanobacteriales; Methanobacteriaceae. The record is from RNAcentral.